RNAcentral lists this ribosomal RNA (424 nucleotides) under uncultured Nitrosomonas sp. RNAcentral describes it as "bacterial SSU rRNA". It matches the Rfam family "Bacterial small subunit ribosomal RNA", at positions 207 to 622 of the family's 1533-position model. Lineage: Bacteria; Pseudomonadati; Pseudomonadota; Betaproteobacteria; Nitrosomonadales; Nitrosomonadaceae. The record is from RNAcentral.
CAAGACCUUGCGCUUUUGGAGCGGCCGAUGUCUGAUUAGCUAGGUGGUGGGGUAAAGGCUUACCAAGGCUUCGAUCAGUAGCUGGUCUGAGAGGACGACCAGCCACACUGGGACUGAUACACGGCCCAGACUCCUACGGGAGGCAGCAGUGGGGAAUUUUGGACAAUGGUGGAAACCCGGAUCCAGCCAUGCCGCGUGAGUGAAGAAGGCCUUCGGGUUGUAAAGCUACUUCAGCCGGAACGAAAAGGUUACGGCUAAUACCCGUGACAAAUGACGGUACCGGAAGAAGAAGCACCGGCUAACUACGUGCCAGCAGCCGCGGUAAUACGUAGGGUGCAAGCGUUAAUCGGAAUUACUGGGCGUAAAGCGUGCGCAGGCGGUCUUGUAAGUCAGAUGUGAAAUCCCCGGGCUUAACCUGGGAACU